This 399-nucleotide ribosomal RNA is filed under the name uncultured bacterium. RNAcentral describes it as "bacterial SSU rRNA". It matches the Rfam family "Bacterial small subunit ribosomal RNA", at positions 359 to 775 of the family's 1533-position model. The record is from RNAcentral.
GAAUCUUGCGCAAUGGGCGAAAGCCUGACGCAGCAACGCCGCGUGCGGGAUGAAGGCCUUCGGGUUGUAAACCGCUUUCAGCAGGGACGAAAAUGACGGUACCUGCAGAAGAAGCCCCGGCCAACUACGUGCCAGCAGCCGCGGUAACACGUAGGGGCGAGCGUUGUCCGGAUUUAUUGGGCGUAAAGAGCUCGUAGGCGGCUCACUAAGUCGGGUGUGAAACCUCCAGGCUCAACCUGGAGACGCCACCCGAUACUGGUGUGGCUAGAGUCCGGUAGGGGAGCAUGGAAUUCCUGGUGUAGCGGUGAAAUGCGCAGAUAUCAGGAGGAACACCAGUGGCGAAGGCGGUGCUCUGGGCCGGAACUGACGCUGAGGAGCGAAAGCAUGGGGAGCAAACAG